This 2514-nucleotide long non-coding RNA is filed under the name Chrysemys picta bellii (western painted turtle). RNAcentral describes it as "lncRNA (ENSCPBG00000022915.1)". The record is from RNAcentral. Lineage: Eukaryota; Metazoa; Chordata; Testudines; Emydidae.
GACCGCUGAGGGGGCGGGACUUCGAGGUCAGGAUGGGAGGUGAGAAGGGACAGACGGAAAGGAAACAGGGCGUCGCUUCCGCCUAGCAACGAGAGUGUUGCGGGCGUCGCUAAGGAGGGGAAGCCGCCGGUUCCGGACAUGGCGGAGCAAGCGCUGGGGGUGCGUGGCCAAGGAGCCCGGAUCAGAGAGAAGCCAAACAAAUUCCUUAGCAGCACCCAGAAAACUACUACUCCUCACCAUCUGAGCCUCAAAGGACCGGAAAAGAGCCAGACACUGCACAGCAACUGGGAAGGAACUUCAUUAUUUAAAAAACAAACUGAAACUAGCUUGUCUCCAUAUAUAGAGGAGAGUCCCAGCAUUGAUGACUUAGAAGAAAGUUUGCGGAAACUUAAAGUUCAGGUGGACAGCUUGGCCUCAAGUCUGAGUUUUGACCCUCAUCAAGAUUAUGCCAUAGAUUCUAGCACUACAGUCAACUCGAGCACCUUUAAUUCUACGUGGCCAAGAGUUCAUAAUGGGACCUAUGCAGAGGCAGACAUUGGAGAUUCACCAAAGCAAUCUGCAGAGUCAGAGUGGUUUCUGAACCCAAGACAUCUGGUCAAACCACUGGGAGAAUAUCCAGCAUUAACAAGCUUAGGCCUUCCGACAUUCUCCACAUCACCCAUCAACCGUGUGCCAGGGCUCCUGGGGAGUGAGAUUGCAAGUCGGAACUAUGUGCCGUCACUGGAUCUUGCACAUACAGAGUGUUUCCCAGUGAAGCUUGGUGCUCCUCAUGUGAUUGGAGUCAGGUCAUUGUUGCCCCCUAAAAUCCCAGUGCAGGAUCGCUCUCCUGAAAGGUCUCUCUCCCUUGAUCGUUCUGGGACCAACCGAUCCCGUUCAUUCUCUCCGGCUCCCAAAAGAACCCGGUGGCUAAGAUCUCGCUCACAGUCACCUAGACCCAUCUGGAGACCAAAUUCUGCUAAGGCAAAUGCCUGUGCCCAGCCUCCACCGCACUUUGGCAGGUCUAGGUACAGCAGAAAGAAAACCGCUUCAACCAGACAAUCACGAUCCAGAAUAUACAAACCAGGAGCCCUGGCUGCCAGGUCCUGUACUCCAACCAGGAUGAAUACAAGGGGAACACUGAGCUAUUCUUGGAGCCCUUACAGUCUGCCCUCCACUGCUGUAUCCUCCCCAACCGCUCAGGAGAUUAAUGAACGGUUUUUGCAGACUCUUGCAGAAGGUGCUGUUGGGAGGUCCCUGAUAGAAAUGUCCCCGUAUCAGAAGGAGCUGGCUCGUCUCAGGCUGGAGCGCCUGCGUGUGGAGGAGGAAUGGUUAUUAGAACUAAAGAGGCAGCAAGAAUUGGAGCGAACUCGGGGUCCAAAACCAAAGUGGUAUGAGAUGAAAAACUCCCAGUUUCAUUAUGAAGCCCACAAGAAUAAUGAGUUGCUGAGGAACAGCCAGGACUUGCAGUCUGUAUAUAACUAUAGGCAGGAACUGGCAUCCAUGUCCAAGGAAUUCCAACAGCAUUUGAAACCUGCUCACCUGCACUCUCUCUAGUAAUAACAAAAAUGCACGGGAAGCGCUCUAACUAACCUGUGCUGGUAGGAGAUGUGAUCAGAGACUCCAACCUGUGAAUUCUGGGAGGCCCCUGUGCUGUGCUUAAUGAAGAGGAAACAAGAUGGCGGAGAGGGGAAUUCUUUAGACCCAAUAGCCUAUGGGCUAGUUCCACUCCAGUGCAUCUUCAGUGCUGAAGUUGGCUUAUUAUCGUAAAUAAUAACUGACUAAAUCACUAAUGCUAUUAUUGACCUCUGUGCUAAGAGCCAGCAGAAAAUCUACGUGCUGGCCUUCCGCACAGGGGGAAUUUUACCCUAUGAGGAACUAUCCCUAAUCAACUUACUUGCAGUAUAAAAGAGCCUUUUACUGAAGUGGAGGGGAAAGGAUUGAGGCAAGGGAAAAGUUAGGGGAACAAAUCUAUGGAAAGAUUAUAAUGAGGACCUCAGAAACAGCCCUAAAGCCCUAUUUGUCAAAUCCUGCAGCUGGAGAUGAUGAAAAACUCAGAAUACGGCAUUGAUUGGCUCGGACACAUUGCUAAAUAGCAUAAUGGCAUUUGUUCAACCUUUCCACUUACGGUGUCUUUUCUUUUCAACACCUGCUUCCAUCAACGUGCAGUUUUAGAGUGACGCCUUGCUCUUUUUUACAGUUUCCUUCAUUUUUUCUUUAAUCCCUUCUGUAAUUAGCUGCUGGCGAGUAGAGCAUUCUACAAGCAGCAAGCUGCCCCGGUUCAGCUGCAAACAAAAGGCGCGCGGGUUCCCACAGCUACUUACAGAUGUUCUGUCCUGCAUGAUCCCAAGGUGCAAUGCAGACAGUUCUGGAAGCCCAAACAAUGGCAGGUUGGUUUGUUUUGAAGAUUUUAGCCUGCAGUGUCCAUUAUUUCCACAGUUUACAAGCAAACAGCCCAGGGACAAUCCAUCUCUGUUCCCUAAACAAUAUAAUUAAUUCUGCUUUAAUAAAUUGCUAAUUAACCUUUUUAAUUUUCCA